This 115-nucleotide ribosomal RNA is filed under the name Ahrensia sp. Lineage: Bacteria; Pseudomonadati; Pseudomonadota; Alphaproteobacteria; Hyphomicrobiales; Ahrensiaceae. The record is from RNAcentral.
CCUGGUGGUUAUGGCGGGGUGGCUGCACCCGAUCCCAUUCCGAACUCGGCCGUGAAACACCCCAGCGCCGAUGGUACUUCGUCUUAAGACGCGGGAGAGUAGGUCGCUGCCAGGU